GGAGGGAGAGCCUAAUGAUCCUUCUGCAGGUGGGAGCCCGCAGGAUUUGGAGACUGAGGACCUAAGGGGUGGAGGGUUGGGGCGCUGGACUCCCUGCCUUCUCUGGCCCGGGGAAAGGUGGUGCGAGGUGGGGGGGCUCGAAAAUGCUCUGGGCUCCGGCUCCGCAGUGAGGGGAGGGGGGGGCGGCGCAAAGAGAGGAGCGCUCUGCGGCCACGUGACACUCUCUUUCCCCCUCCCCCCCUCCUCCCCUCUCUCCCCCCUUCAACUGCAGCGGCGGCGGCGGCAGUGACAGCGGCGGGAGCAGCAGCGGGAGUGGAGCUGCGUCCGACUGGGGCUGCUGAGGCCAGCACCAGAGCCGAGUGGAGCCGAGCGGAGGGAGCCCCGCGUGCCCUCCCCCAGGCCCUGUGGGUUGGACAAAUCCUUUGUGCGCAACCGGAACCCUUGGAGGAAUGAUGGGCAGAGCCAGCCCUUCCCUCAUGCGUUAGACUUGCCUCGAGUGGACUCUGCUCCUCCCCACACAGCUUCCCUCUAUCCCAAGGUAAAGUGGCCUCUCCUCCCUGCCUCCAGGAAACCCAGUGAGGGCCAUGUAGUGGGGAGAGGGAGGGACGAAACGAGGGAGCAAUCAUGGGAUGCGCUGGGCCUGGUUCCUCACAGCUCCAGGGGCCGGGCUUGGGGAUGAGGGGAUCUGGGUUUGAAUCCUGACUCUGACAUUUGGUCAUGCUGGGCAAGUGACUUCUCCUCCCUGAAGGCCAAUUUUCUUAUCUGUAAAGUGAUGGAAUUGGGCCAAGUGAUCUCCAAAGGGCCUGCUAGCUCUAGAUCUCUGAGCCUCCGUUUCCUUAGCCUUAAAAUGGGGAUGAUAAUAUUUGUACUGCCUACCUCCACAGGGUGUUAGGAGGAAAGUGGUUUUUAAAAACCCUUAAGUGCUAUGGAAGAGGGAGCAGCAGCAUCCAUUGCCACCAGUCCCCUGAUCUCUGUCAGAGAGGGAGUACAGUGGAGAGAGCGCUGGGCCUGGAGUCAGGAGGAGCUGCGAUCAAUUCCAGCCUCACAUGCUUCCUAGCUAUAUUACAUUGGACAAGUGAUUUAAUUUCUCUUUGCCUCCAUUUCCUCAACUGUAAAAUGCAGUUCAUAAUAACACCCACUUCUCAAGGUUAUGACAAUUAAAUGCAGUAAUAUUUGUAAAAAAUGCUUAGCACAAAACUUUUUUCCCUUUCUUAUUUUUGUCCAAGUUUCCUUCCACAAAAGGAUUAAUAUGGAAAAAUAUUUUAUAUGAUUGCAC
RNAcentral lists this long non-coding RNA (1276 nucleotides) under Monodelphis domestica (gray short-tailed opossum). Its description in RNAcentral is "lncRNA (ENSMODG00000033263.2)". The record is from RNAcentral. Lineage: Eukaryota; Metazoa; Chordata; Mammalia; Didelphimorphia; Didelphidae.